UUGCCUCCCUCCAAGCCAUGUUGUAGCCACUCUGCACAAUGGGUUCUGCCUUGAGCCUCAGACAUGAGGAUACUACUCUCCUAGAGAGAGUAGGGCCUCCUUAGGGUCAUAGCAGGGCUGCAGUUUCCAGGGCAGGAAGGCUAACCCGCAUGCAGGCUGGAGGUUAGACACAGAGCUCAGCCAGGCCUCCUAGGGAAUGGAGAAGAGGCUCUGAAAUUUGCAGUAUCAGGUUUCAGAAAACAUGGGGUCAGGGUCAGCAGAGCAGCUGGUAGUGGGGAAGGCCAGGCCCAGCUAAUUUCCUGUCAGAAUGGCCCAGAGGCCCCAGCCCCUCUCUGGGCUGGCCACAGGGGAGGAGAUGCCGGGAAUGGCUCACAUUCCUCUGGCUGGGGCUGCACUGAACCUCCAACCUCGGGGGACCUGUGGGGAGUGAGGAGGUGGAUCUCUGAGGCCAGAGUCGGGGAGUCUCUGCAGGGACCAGGCAUCUGGUGUGCAACCCUUAGGCUGGAAUGGGGCCAGAGACUGUAGAGCAGACACAAAAAAGAGCAUCACAGCUGCUGAAGCUUUAAGAGAAACGAGCCCAACCUCACUUUCAGAUGAGGAAAUAGGCUCAGACAGGACCAGCUCUCAUCAGGAUCACAUGAGCAUCCCUGUUCUAAGCCCUGAACUCUGUUUCUUCUGGCCAGGCCUGCAUUUCCUGGAAGGCCCUGCUUUGCUGAGCUGUGUGACAGUGGGGGGCAAGCUGGGCCAGGCCUGUGCUCCUCUUGGCAGGAACCCUUGCUUUCGGAUAGAGAUAUAUGCUUCUCAGGCAGUCUGUGGGGUGGACAGCUAGUGCUGAGAGGGUGUAAGGGUGCUGAGUCGGCUGUGGGCCCCUCUGUCCUCUCCUUGGAGGCCUUAGCUCAUUCCACCAGCAGAGGAAACUUUAUGUCCUGGUCCAGUCCCCAGGAGGGUGAGGUCAUAGAAGUGUGCUCUUGGCCUUGAAUGACCUUCUAAGUGGCCCGGCCUGGCUGGGUGGGAGGUAGAGGUUUCAGGUCCCCUGUACUGUCCAUUCUCUGGCCCCAAGAUUGGCCUGGUUGAAGUAAGAUGGCUGGGGAGGGUGAGACCAGGACUCAGUCACUCAAGCCUGGGUCUGAACCCACCUCCAUCAGACACUAUCGUCUGACCGGGGCAGGUCAUCUGACCUCUCCAAACCAUGGAGCCUUCUUCGCCCAGCUACCUCCUUCCUGGCCUAAGACUUAGCAUAAAUGUCAUUUAUUCAGGUGUCAACCUGAAAAUAGUCAUGACAAGAGGCAAACGAGUGUGUAUUUGGGAUCAGAGAAUUGCAGUUUGGGGAGCACAGAUUCUGGCAGCAACCAGCGAAGCGUCUUGCCUUUAGGUGAAAGCAAGGGGUUUUAUGGGAAGGAGGAAGGCUGGUAAUUCCAUGACUUGGUACAAACAGGCUGCACUGCUGUGUGCACUGACUAUUCUGUUAACACACAGAACUAUUCCUGGUACGCUUUAGUUAACUGCUCUGUCUUCAGAAAGUCCACAACCAACAGUUUUUGGCCAGGAUGCCUGCUGUCCUGUUGACUCUGUGGACAAUCGCUUAACACAACUGCUGUUUUGCCCGGUUCAAACAAGGGCAGGUAAGGCCGUUUCUCCAUAGUGGCCUCCCUGACUCUAUUUUGAAAUGACUGCAGUCACAUCAGUUUUUCAUGCUGGAAAGUCUUCUCUGGAUGCCCACCCAGGGCUGGACUAGGAUCUCUUCCCAUUUUUCUGCAGGACCCUAGCUGUCCCACCAGGUCACAGCUCUGAUUAUGCUAGAUAUCAUACCUUGCAGGUACAGAUAGUGGCUUAUUUUACUUGGGGUCCAAAGUAGCCAGAACGGGCACCAGCACAUAGCAACUACUAAUAAAAGCAUGUUGACUGAAUGAAUCAUGGGCAGACAAAUGCACAGGAAGAUGGACGGUCUGAUUUGGGGUGACUGGCUCAUUCAUAGUAGGCUCCAUCCUACAGUAGGAGGUUUGAGGGGAACAUGUGCAUGGUCAGGCUUGCCGUGGCACCUCACAUACUGAAGCCCCAGCAGAGAAAUAACUCCCAGCUGCCUCCCACUGGUGACGUCUCAAGUGAUAGGGUCACAGCAGGGACCCCCAGCCCCACCUGCUAAACUCAGCUGCCCCUAGGAAAUGUGGAUGUUGAGAGAGGAUGCCAAACACUGGUGGACUCUAGGUGAUAGGUGGGCUUGUGUCAGUGUGCACAUAAAGUGCCUGUGACACUAGGGUGGGUACAUGUGCAAGUGUACAUGGUGAACGUGCAUGCCCUUGUCUGUUGUCUGUGUGUCAGGAUGUGUUUGCAUGUAUGUGUGUGUGUGAGUGCCCCCAGCCCCCCAGGGUCUUGCAGUAACCCCCUGCAAGUACAGCCCCCGAAGCCCACAUCUCCCAUGGCACUUCAGCCCUCUGCCUCCCUCUUGCCUCUCCUUGGGCCAUCCCGCAUCCAGUGUCCCUGUCCUGGGCUCCUGUGCCCUGCACACACUUCUGUCGCUGCACACAUCACUGUGGGGCAUUUGUGUCAUGCCGCAUUAGUUUCCUGUUGCUGUUCUAACACAUUACUACAGAUUUAGUGGCUUAAAACAACAGAUUUAUUGCUCUCUGGGCUCGGAUCUAGUUUGUGGCAACAUGGUUAAAUGCACCAAGAAGGUUGGAAUCAUUGGUAAAUAUGGGACCUGUUAUGGUGCCUCCCUCAGGAAAAUGGUGAAGAAAAUAAGAAAUAAGUCAGCAUACCAAGGACACUUUCUCCUUCUGUGGCAAAACCAAGACGAAGAGGUGAGCUGUGGGGAUCUGGCCUCGUGGUUCCUGCAUGAAAAUGGUAGCCAGUGGUGCCCGGCCCUACAACACCACUUCUCCUGUUACAGUAAAGUCAGCCAUCAGAAGACUGAAGGAGUUGGCAGGCCAGUAGAAGCUCUACCAUUUGAAACAUAGCUAGCCUAUAAUAAAUGGGUUAAUUUCUGUAACAAAACAGAUACAUUAUCUUACAGUUCUGAAGGUCUGAAGUCCAAAUGGGUCUCAAGGUGUCAGCAGGCCUGCAUUCCUUCUGGAGGCUUCAGGGGAGAAUGUUUCCUUGCCUCCUCCAGCUUCCAAAGGCUGCCCACAUUCCUUGGCCCAUGGCCCCUUCCAUCUUCAAAGCCUGCAAUGAUUGGCCAUGUUUCUCAUGUUGCAUCUCUCUGCCACUCACUUCUGCCUCCUCCUUCAACUUAUAAGCACCCUUGUGAUGACACUGGACCCAUCCAAGAUGACCUUGAGGUCAGCUGAUGAGCAGCCUUAAUUUCAUUUGCAACCUUAAUUGUCCUUUGCCAUGUCACGUAGCAUGUUCACAAAUCCUGGGGAUUUGGAUGCACACGUCUUCGGGCAUGGGGUGCUUUAUUCUGUACACCACAGAUGGUCUGUCUCUUUUGGUUGUGAGCUCUUUGGGCCUGUGCUGUAUCUUACUCAUCCAGAGACUUCUUGAGACUGAAAGAGUGCCCAUGCCCAGGCUGUACUAGGUGUUUAUUACAUAUUUGAGUAAAUCUGAUUCAAUCAAUGCUAUGUUGAGAAUCCAUUUGUCCUGGGUACUUUUAUCCAGGUACACAGCUUUCAUCCCCAUUUUAUAGGUGAGGAAAAUAAGGCUCAGAGAAGUUAGGCCAAAAAAGCUACUAUGUGACAGAGCCAGAAGCUUCAGUAUAUACUGCCCUCAGGUAGAAAACGCUGACACCUUUGUUCCUUUGGGUCUAGAGAUCCAAAAGAGAAGUACCUGGACCUUGGGUGGUGGCCAUGAAAAUGCACCUCUCAGAUUUCAGACUAGCCCCCACGACUGUGCUCCGAUAGCCAUCACAGUUUUUACGCUGAGGCCCACAGGCUGCUGUCAGCCAGUGACUAAGGUGGGUUUCUUCUAGGGAGAUACAAGAUUUCCCUGGUGGGCAGUUUUGGCACACAGGGCUCCCCACUGGCCUUGCUAUUUUUAGAUCUGAACUGCAGCCCAAGACUCUUCCACCCCACCUUCCAUCCUCUUGUCUCUUGUUCACAGGGGUCAAACCUACAUCACUGAUGUCCCUCUCACCACCCCCACCCCACCCCGCUCCCUGACCAGUGUCCUGCUCACCUACUCUCAUACCUGUUCACUCUGUAAGUCUUUUGCAUGCAGAGUCCUGUCUUAGUGGAAGGACCAGAACUAACAUAAGCGGUCUGAGGAAACAGUGGCAAGAUGGGGAUCUGGGACUGUCACAGCGGAUGGGGAGGAGGAUGCUGUCCUGGUUGAUGGGGGCCCCAGAUAGUCCCUAAAGCAAGGUAGCAGCUCAAAUAUUUCACUGGGAAUAUUUCAUUGGGAAUUUUCCAGUUUCCUGGAGGAGAAGAAUGUUGAGGUAGGUGUGAUAAUCCAGGCAUUCGAAAAAUAAGGGGGUUGGGAACAAUGCCCUCAAAAAGUUGGCUGGUUACUGUGAACUCAUGCUGAUGUUCUGCAGAGGGAUGAAGAGGGACUAUGGGCCACUGACAAGCAGUUAACAGGGAGGUGUGAGAGCCGGCAGGCCUCCACGGUAGCUUACAAAGAAGCCCUUAUCUCUGGCAGUGGAGAACAGAUAUAGCUGAGAGGCAGGCUGGAGAUAAGAGUUGCACAGAUAAGUCUGAUUGCUCAGCCAAGGUAGUUAUGUGAAGGUCAGGCCCUGGUGGGGAAAAACUGGAACCCUGAAACAUGAGCUAAAGACAUCAGGAUGGAUGCCCGUGAAGAUGUUGGUGCUGCAGCCUUCCUGACCCUUGAUGCUUGCAGAGAUGGCCAUCCCUCCUCCUAAGAGCUCCCAUCUCUGCUGUGCUGAAAGAUGCCACAGAGGCCUCACCCUUGCUGGGCAACAGGUACCCUCUCAGGUGCUGCCCCCACUUCCUCUCCUGGUAGCCUAGGACAGUAAUUAGGGUUGAAUUCCAGACUAAUCCAGCUGGGGACACACUGGGCCCGAUAAUGGAGGAAAGAGACACUACAUGAAAGAAUGGUAACUAUCACGGACACUGGCAGGAGCCAGGGGAAUGCUCCUGGGAUUGCAUUUUGGGAAUGCUUAAGGGGGCUGGGUGUGAGACUGGAAAAGCAAGCAUUCAGGGAUUUGGGGGCACUCUAUUGAGACACAGAUUUAAUACUCUAGAUGGGCCACUAGAGGAUGGGGAAGAUUCUGCUGGGGUGGCUCUUAGAAGCCUGGAAAAAGCAGUGGCCAACACUCAGUGAAAUGGAAAUACCCGAGUUUUCCUGGCAGAUGGUAAAGAAGAAAUUAAAGAAGCUGGCAAAAGUGGGUGUGCUGGAAUGGAUACAUUGUGUAAGGCCAGUAAUGACAGAGGGGCAGGAAAGGGGGCUCAACCCAUAGAAAGUUGCUGAGAAAGCUAACAGAGCAUGGUGUCCCUAGGGGCAAACCAGGCAGCCAAUAAGGCUCUGCUUAAUACCUGCAAUUUAAAUAUUAAAAAAAAAAAUUUUUUUUAACGUUUAUUUAUUUUUGAGACAGAGAGAGACAAAGCAUGAAUGGGGGAGGGUCAGAGAGAGGGAGACACAGAAUCUGAAACAGGCUCCAGGCUCUGAGCUGUCAGCACAGAGCCCGACGCGGGGCUCGAACUCACGGACCGCGAGAUCAUGACCCGAGCCGAAGUCAGCCGCUCAACUGACUGAGCCGCCCAGGCGCCCCAAUACCUGCAAUUUAAAAAGCAGACAGGAAUGGAGGUGCAGGAGGCAGGCGCAAGGGAAAUUCUUGGUCUCUUGCUCUGUCCCCAGACCUGAACCAAUUUGCAGAUAUGGGACCCACUGACUGAAGAGGAGGCCAGUGUCUAGUAAGAAGGACUCCGCAAAACAGCAACAAGUAUGUAUAGUGAUGGUUCCUGUUUUUCCCCAAAGGUGGGAAAUGUAUUUGGGUGACUGUUCACAAAAGAAAGGGGACUAGCAGACACAGAGGUUUAGUUGACAUCAACAUCUGGAGACUCAAAGUGUCAUCGUGGGCCCUUUUUUAGAAGGAGGCCUGUGGAGGUCAGGUAGAAAGUGGAGUUGUGGCUAAGGUCUGGUUUGCUGGGUCCACGAAGCUGCCCAGAAGGCCCUUAUACCCGACUGCUUAGUUAGAACUUACAUGCUCUGACCUGAAGGGAUCCCCACCUCAGGUCACUGGCUUACUGGAAAUCUCAGUAGAGAAGGCCAAGUACAAAUUUUUGAAAUUGCCAUUUCCCUGCUCCUUUGCCUUGCCCAAGACAGAAAAUAAAAAAACUCACCUCAUACCAGGGGAUGUGACAGAAGUUAAUGCCACCAUUAACAAUUUAAAGGAUGAAGGGGUCGUGGUCCCUUACCAUUUCUCCAUUUAAUUUGCCCAUCUGACCUCUGCAUGAAUCGGCUGGAUCUUGGAGCAAGACUAGACAGAUUGCCUCAGGUAUAACCAAGUAGGAGCCCUGCUGUGUGUCAGACAUGGAAUCACAGCUAGAGCAGAUUAAUAAAGCCAUAGGUAUGUGGUUUGCAGUCACUUGGUCAAUGUGUUCUUUUCCAUUCCAAUUAGAAAAGAUCAGAAACAGUUCCUAUUCACAUGGGAUGGGCAACAAUAUUCAUUUACAGUUUUGCCUCAGGGUUGUGUAAACUGCCUUUCCCUCUGUCUUAAUCCUAAGAGGUCAGGACCAUGUGGACAUCCCACAGAAUGUCACACCGAUCCAUUACAUCGAUGACCCGGUGCUGAUUAGGCAGGAUGAGUAAGAGGUGUUCCUAAGCUGGAGGCCAUGGUUAAGUCACAUGCACUUCCAAGUACAGCAUAUAAAACCUAUGAAUACCUAAGGACCUGCCACUUUAGUGAACUUUUUAAGCCGUUCAGUGGUCAGUAAAAGGAAGCAAAAGUAAAGAAUAAGAUAAAUUGUUGCAUAUUGUAUCUCUUGCCAUGGUGAAGAGAGCACAGUGCCUGGCAACCGUCUUUGGGUUAGAGGCAACAUAUAAUUCUGGGUGACGUGUAAAGCUGCCAGCUAUGGGGAGUGGGGUCCCAUGACAGGAAAAUGCUCUGAAAAAGGUCCGGGCAUGGUAGCCUGGAAGCUGGAGGUGUUGGAAAUGUCAGCAGUGGGAAGAGGAAAGAUAUAAUAGCAUGGAGCUUAUGGCAAGCCCAGUGGGAGAAUCCCAAAAUAGGCCUCUGGGAUGCCACAGCAGGGCCACGUUAUCAGUGACUGUGGAUUACGCACAUUUUGAGAAGCAGUUUAUGGCAUGUUACUAGGCUCUGGUAGAGACAGAACAUUCGACCAAGUUACACCAAGAGGGACAUCUGAAACUGCCCAUUAUGACUUGGGUUCUGUUGGAUACAUCAGGUCAUAAAAAUGGAUGGGCCUGACAGCAUCUAUAAGAUGGAAAUACUACUUCUGGGACUGAGCCUGAGUGAGUCCAAGCCCAAUGGGUAAACUGCAUGAGGACAGAGCAUUAAUAAUUUUUUGUAUUGAUUACAUGUUGAAAUAUUUUUGAUACACUGGGUUAAAUAAAAUAUCUUGAAAAUAAGAUGAAAUGUUAUUAAAAUUAAUUCCAUCUACUUCUUUUUACUUCAAAAAAGAUACAUUAUAGGGGUGCCUGGGUGGCUUGGCUGGUUAAACAUCCAACUUCAGCUCAGGUCAGGAUCUCUUGGCUCAAGGGUUUGAGCCUUGAGUGAUGCUCUGUGCUGUUGGUGCAGAGCCUGCUUCAGAUCCUCUGUCUCCCCCUUUCUCUGCCCCUCCUCUCUCAAAAAUGAAAUAAUAUUAAGAAACAUACAUUAUAUGGCUCCCAAUAUGUACCUAUUUUACAGUGCUGCUCUAAGCUCUAGCUCUUCAGCAAUACUGUCUUAUUCUUUGCUUAAUGCAUAGCUUCUGUUGCUGCUGCUGAAGGCAUUUCCCGGCUAUCAGCUUGAGACUGUUCAGAAAUUCUUUAUAGGAUGAUGGGGUUACUUAACAACUCUUAAAAGAACUUCCAAUGAAAUAUCUAGAAGUGUCCAUUUCUGUUGAGAAGCAAACCUGCCAUACCAUUCACAGUAUAAGCUCUAGCUCUGGAGGAGAGCCACUGGGAAGUGAGAAUAAAGAACUCGGGCCAAAGGGUUUGGGGAGUGAGACCUGUAUGAAUGUGCUCCUUUUGAGAUCUUCAUCUUUCAAGAGCCCAGCCACGGACAGGCUCUGUCACAGGUGCCAAGAUGGGGGGCUGGUGGCGGUCAAGCCUCUGACACAGUGCCAGGCCCUAGUCCUUCUUCCUUGGAGUCCAGUGUUUUUCUCCCCUUCAUAGCUAAGAUCUGAGGCAUGAAGGGCAUCUGGAUAUUCUUGUGCUCAACCCCUAAUCUCAGUUGUUUCCCCUGUGACUGAAACUCAGGGACACAGCAGGGGCAGAAUGGCAGGUCCCAGGACCAGCCAUUAGGAAGAGAGGCCUGGGACCAACCCUUGCCUGGAUCACAUGAGCCCUCUAGACUGAGAAGAUCUGAAGGCUCAACGGGCCCUUUUUGCCUGGCUCAGAGAGGGCUCCUGGAUAUCAACAGACUUAGAGGUUCAGCCCCGAGAUGAGAAUGUGCAUUCUGUUGGCUACAUGUUGAGAUGUAGCUAAGGUCCCCAAGGUAAACUCCAAGGGUUUAGCUAGAAGAAGUGUUGUCCAGAACUGAAAUCACUGAUCCCCAUUUGUGCUAUUUAACAAUUUCCUGAAGCAGAAAAACCAGCCACCCAACCAGAGUUCACUUCAUCCUGCUUAAAAUUCUCACAAACUGUCACAUACCAUAGGUGGCAAAACUGUGACCCAGAUGAUGUAAAGGACCUCACCAAUUUCACACAGCUCACUAGAGCACAAACAGUGGCUUCAGGUCUCUUACCUAAACUCUGCAGCAGCACGUCCAGAACCCAGAAGCUCAUGCCAGUUUGUCCAAUGUCUCUGGUAACCUUCUAUGCAAAGGGCAGUGAUGGCAUUAAUAGAACCAGGGCACCACAUGGGCUGUUUUACUCUUGAGCUUUUAGUCUCGUAUAUAAAUCCUGAAUGUUGCCUGCUUAGUGCUACGCACUACACGAUGAGUUUUAUUUCACAGUAAAUGAGGGAUGCUCUUUCUUAAGAAAUAAAUUUAAUUCGGGGUGGUUAGUGCAUGUAAGGCAUGUAACCUUUAUGAAAGUUAAAAGAAUCCAGUUAUAAAAGAAGCACUGUAUACAGUCUCAAAUCGCUGAAGGUACAAUGGGCUCCGUAUUUUACAAAGUACAAAAAAUUAUUUCAUAUACAAAGAAAAAAAUACAAAUAAUGUGCAAAAAUCAUUUUCACAGGUGGCAAUUUAUAAAAUGAAAAUGGUAGAAAAAUCCUUCAUUCUUAUUAUCCCCAAUUUCUUAUAUAUUAACACAGGUCUAUUUCCUAGCGUGUAGGUAAUUUUAAAUUUGAAAAUCUGAUUUAUUUUUCAUCUACAAAGACAAAGUGGUUUUUUUUUUAUUUUUUAAAAAGGGAACUAUUUUCAUUACUGAAAUCUUAUGCAUGAAUCAGUUACUUUUAUAUUAAAUUAUAAGUAGGCUAUCUGAAAAACAAGGAUAUAGAAAUCGUAUGUACAUAUUUUUGAAAUAUUAGUUUGGUAUUUAACAUAUUAACAUUUCAAAACGGCGAUCUAGCUACCUCUGACUCCAGUUGGGCUGCAAUGCCUGUAGCAGAGAUGCUGCUGCUCCUCACAGGGAACAAACAGCAUUCCUCGGAUCUUUAGCUGAACAAACACAAGGUUAUCAAAAGUAGAGAAAAUCUACAAACAGUUCUUACUGUUCACGUGCACAAGUGCUGUUUGGGUAUCUGAUUGUGCCACAGACACAGCCCCUGGUACAGGUGUAAUGUGCUUGUAGACAGCUGGCUUCUGUCUUUCCAACACCUUCACUUCAUUAGGAGUUCAGUGCAAGUGUUUGUGAGUUAGUGCAUUCAGCUUUUUGCAUGUUAUUCUGUGUAAGGAGCUGUCAGGGAACAGAAGAAUACACAGGAACACAAAGUCCUGGAUCCUCAGGGCACCUGUGGCCUAGAAAAUUCAGUGUUUUGAAAGUAGUAUUUUCCUGCAUUGGCCUUGUCAUUGUUGCAUCAUUCCCUGGACCGUCUUUCUCCUUCAGGAGAAUCCUGCGUGUUCCUCGUCUGCCACUGAGCACUCAUGUUCUUGCUGUGAUCCCCCAUGGCCGAGCAGGGGUUAUGGAAGCACCUUUUGGCAGCACCAGAUAGCUGAGCAUCUCUAAGGUCAGGCAGUAGGAGUAGGAGCUAUUCUGCUGGGAAAUCUGUUCUGUGCAGAACAUGAGAUAGUGUUGGCGGGGUUUUGAUUUUUGCUUGUCAGAAAGCUCUCCAAGGAAAUUAUGACCUUGGGGAAUAAAAAGGAUCUAGUUUCAUCAAGAAGGACUCAAGUAAAUAGAAACCAUUUAUCUAGGGGAUGGGUGACAGUUGGCUCAGGAAGCAUUCUUCUGAUCCCUAACCACUAAGACCCUGUUAGAACAACCUAGUGCAAGAUACAGGGAGUGCCUGGGGUUCUUGACCAGACCUCUGUGACAUAUUCAUUCAGGCUAAGCAGACAUAGCAAUUGUUCAAAGAGGGCACUGGGUAAGACUGGGCAGAAGAACCUCAGGCCUGGGAUGACUCCUCAGAACCAAAGAGGAAGCUGUCAGCUCCUCAAGGAUUCAUGCACUUUAUUCUAUCUGACAGCACGAGGCUUUCCUCCCUCUUUUUUGCUUGGGUUGACCAUGGGCAUCAGGCGUCAGAGAUACAGCUCUGGAUCCUGUCCAUCCACUGCUGGGCACUCUGUCCAUCCUGGGCACAGAAGUUAUACACACGUUUGCUGGUCUUGAGCUACAAAACCAAAUGAACAGAAGCAGAGAUGAAGGGCAGGCCUGUUUUAUGGCUUUGGGCAAGUGUGUGAAUCAAUCUCAGUGAACUUCCCCUCCGUACUGCUUCAAAACCUCUAUGUUUUCUCUUCCCUCCGCUACCAUACUGUCACUGCCAUUAUAGUCACUUUGUUUCUUUGGUCCCCAGAGUCACAGUAGAUGUUAAUAGAAUGACACUGGCAGAAAAAGGAGACAUACUAGGAGACCCUUACUCCUAAGGAGGAGGGUCAGGAGCCUCUCCCAUGCACUGCACCGGGAGCAGUGCAGUGCAGCUCCCUGGGCUCCUCAGGGAAGCCGGAAAUUCACCCCCACCAAGAAGUUGUCUUUCUUGUCCUGUUUCCAUCCCCUUCUCUAAAGGCUUAAGUUGGGGACACACUGGAUGCCCGGAAUCAGGUAAAUGGCCUCAUAGCCAGAGCAGAGCCCUUGAGUGUGGCUGUGCUCUUUAUGAAACCCUGCUUGGCUAUGGGAACUGGGUGAGAACCCUAUCAUGUGGCCCAUCAAAUGCCCUGAGGCUCACCUAAGGGCUGUUGAAGAUGUUAGGACCAACAGUCAUCAUAUAUGACUAAGGACAAUUUUUAUGGAUGGUCAAACAUGAAGACCACUGGAUCCAAAGGGAAGUAGUGUCUGUUCUUGAAUAGGUGGUGAAUAAAAUAACUAACAAUGUUUUUAUCAAGGAAUUCAUCUGCUUCCAUGUGUGGCUGGACACCCAGUAAAGGAGUCCUUUGUGCAAAGCAGCGCACCACAGCUUGGAGAUGGACAGUUUGGAGAUGUCAGGUUUGGGGAUCGAGUGCUAAGUUCAAGUUCUGGAGCAAUUUCCAUAGCCAAGGGGUUAUCAUCUGUCACCACCAAUUGCUCUGAGGCCCUAUAAUUCUUGGAGGUGGAUGGAUUGUAAGGAAUCAUGUACAGACAGAGCCAGGUUUUCUAGUGAGAUGUAGUGAGAUCAACUUACAUCAAAGAAAGCCUUGUCACUUGUGUGCUUUGGGGCUCCCAUGCUAGGGCCAGCAGGGAUGACCAUUUCUACUUCAGCCAGAUCAAUGUGGCCUUUACAGCUUGUGUCCUCACCUGAGUCAUAGUAUCGCAGCUGGAACCAAAAGGAUACAGAUGGGAAAUAAGAGACACAGAAAAGGAAAAUGGUAUGACUUUUCAAAAUGUAUUUGAAUACUUGCCUCUGUACCUUGCUAAACUGUCUGAAAUAAUAAGCAAGAAAAUAAAAACACUGUUGCUUUUCGGAAGGAGGACUAGGUGGCUGACAGAAAGGAGGAAAAAGACAUAUUUUUCUGAAAUUCGAAUGAAUAAAAGUAUUACAUGUUAAAAACUAAAACUAAAUGUCAGCUAACAAUUGGAAAAAAUAUAUGUAACAUAUAAAAGAGGUUGUUUAGAAAAAUAUGCAGAAUUCCUAGAAAUUGAUAAGAAAAAGAUAAACAAUUUAGUAGAAAAAUGGUCAAAAAAAUCUCAACAGGUAAGUCACAGAGGAAAUGCAAAAGACCUAUAAACAUUUAAAAAGAUGGGCAACCUCACUGAUGAAAGAAAAGGGAUGUAAUCAGUAAGAUUUCACUUUUCACUUAGAUUAAGAAAUAUUCACGGUGAGGGCAAGGCACUAGGUAUUCUCAAACAUUGCUAGUGGAAAUAUAAUUUGUUAGAAACUUUUUGGACAAUUUGGCAAUAUCAUCUAAAAUUUAAAAUGUUUAUGCCUAUUGAUAUAACUUCUCACCUCUAGAAAUGUAUCCUACAGAAACAAUCCCACAAGCAUGCAGAGAUACACAUAAAGAGGUUUCCUUCAGCACUGUUUUGAUCAGGUAAAAACUGAAAAGAUGUAUCUGUCUUUCAUUGGGGUGUUGGUUAAUUAAAUGAUGGUUAAUUAUAUCAAUGAUACAGACUACUGUAUAUAGCUUUUCAAAAAUUAUAAGGAAGAUCUAUAUGAACUGGUAGGAAAGUAUGUUCAAGAUAUACCAUAUAAAAAAUACAAGUUGCCAAACCACAUGUAAAUCUAAAGUGAUUUUUGAGGGGCACCACCCGGGUGGCUCACUCAGUUACAUGUCUGACUCUUGAUUUCAGCUCAGGUCAUGAUCUCAUGGGUUCGUGGGGUCAAGCCACACAUUGGGCUCCGUGCUGACUGUAUGGAGCCUGCUUGAGAUUGUCUCUCUCUCUCUCUCUCUGUCCGUCUUCGCUGCUUGCACUCACACACACACACUCUCUCAAUCUCUCUCUCAAAAUAAAUAAAUAAAUAAACAAACAUUUAAAUUGAUUUUUGAAAAACAAUAAAUAGCUCACCAUUUGACUGAGUGGUUAUCACAUGCCAGGACUGGAUAUCACUCUCUAACUAAAUGAGUCUGGAUUUCACUCUCUAACUUACACAGUAGGAAAGGGUCUGAUGCCUCUGUCACUGUGGUUCUGGCCUCAGACUUUUCUGUCUCUCCAGUCAGGCAUGGUAUAAGUAGGUCUAAAUGGAAAAACUAUAUACCUUUCGUGUUAAAUCCAAAAGAUCCGUAAGAAUGCAAGUAUAAUUUGGUGUAACUGUAAAUUACAGAAAAAUUAUGACAUUGUCCUAUGUUAUAUUUAGUGGUUUAAUGGAACUUUUCUCCACAGUGUAGGCUCUAUGAUUUCAGACACAUUGUUAUUUUAAAGUACAACCCCUUCCCCCCCCCCACCAAGGGCUUCCAUUGCAUAUUUGUAAAUAAAUUCUCUAUAUUCUUCCACAGAGACUGUGUAACUUUUAUGAAAUUCCCUGAGCAGAGGGAAAUGUGAUCCCCAUUUCAAAUCUGUAUCUGGAAAGAGUUUCCUAGGUGCACGUACGACCAGAGCACUGUAUAGGGGUACCAGUUUGUAUCUUUCUCAGCAGAGUCCAUUUUAGAAAUGAAUGCACUGAGAAUCAAGAUGUGUACCCCUCUGCCUCAGGCUGAGCAGUCAGUUCCAAGGUAGAGUGAGGUCCACAGUCAGAAUAUUUGGAGGCCAUGAGAAUGUCACCAUGGAAGUGUAUGGAGGGGCUGGAGGUUUGGGUAGGGAUCCCUCACCCCUGAGAUUACUGGAGCAAAGAUCAUGAUACUAAGAAUUGCAGGGGUUGCUGUAGCAAUAGCUAAGAACCUAACAAUGGACAAAGGACUUCCCAACAUGGCCAGUGAGGUUCAGGCUAGUACUUGCUCAGUGAGAAUUCCCUCUUUGAGUGGGUAUAGCCCCUUCUGCCUAUUUCAGGGCCCCCUCUCUCCACUGUUGCUCUCAUUUUGAGGGAAAAUGAUGCUUUCUUUAGUAACCAGUACAUGAUGAGCAAUAAAUGUUUGUCAAAUAAAUUAAUGCCCUCAGUUUUGAAUGUAUGCUUUAUGCUGCAAAAAUGAAGGUAAUCUGUAUUCUGAGGACUGCUCCCAAGCACAGGCUCUAUAUAUGCAUGUGGAAUGCAACCCACUGAAAAGCUCAGGUCCUCUCCUGGCCUGGGUUUUAAGAGUAGGCAGCAGAAGAUAUUUGAGCAUGAAAAGCAGAGUUCUAGUGCUCUUAAUGCUCUGGGCCCCAGUGUCACUGCCUCUGCCUGUAUAUAUCAGGCAGAGCUACUUUGGACCUUCCCUCGGAAGGCUACUGCCCUAACUCAGGGACAUGCUGAGUCCUUGAAGAAGCCCACAGGGAGCAUAUGUGAGGCCUUGUCUGAACAUGAGGGAUGUGUCUGUCUGUUUAGAGUUGUACAACAGCCAGGGACUGAGCCUGGCUUAGAGAAAAGUGAUUUCUGUAGGCUUUGACAGUAUUACCUGAUGUUUUGUUACAUCCAACACGAACCAACGGGGCUUCCAACCUUUCAGCAGAGCCCCCCUUUUGUAAAGUGUUCCUUCGAAGGACCUAGAAGAAAUGAUGACAGGUCAGUUAACUUUGGUUUUCAUUUAAAAAGUACUGUGAAGAGGAUGUCUGUUGUUUUUGUCUGUCAAGUCUCUCUUUCUCUCAGAUAGUCCCCCAAAAAGGCAAUCAGAAUUCUCUCCAGAAUUUUUCUACUAGACUUAUGGGGGAAAGACUGCCUCUUUCUGCUGGAAUUACCAAAUUUGUGAGGUUUGGAGCUCACGGUAGCCAUCUUUUGUGCCAUGUUGGGAAUGAUGCAACCCACAGAGGAAAGCAGAGCCAGCAAAUGAACAGAAGCUUGAAGAUACUAUGUGAGAAACUGGCACAUCCUUGGCCCUCCCAGUCUACGUGAGUAAAUUCCUUUUUGCUUGAGCUAGCUAGCACGAGCUGGCCUUCUGACGUGUGCCACCACAAAAGUGCUGACUAACAUACAUUCCCUCAAGAGAUCUGACAGACAUGAGAUAAUGAUAAUCAGGACUCAACCACAAAUAGCUAUAACCUCUUGGCAUUAUUUUAGUUGUAAUUUUGAUUUUUCCUCUUUAAAGACCCCUUUGACACAUCUAAAAUAGGAACAAAGAAAGAAUCGAGGCAAACCCAGUUACGUGGCAAACCCAUUUAAGUUUAUAGGAGGCAGUACCGCACAGGCCUGGCUGAUUGAAGGGCCUGUGGUGCAGCCGCAGGCAGGGCUCAGCGCGCCCACCUGUUCUCGUCAUUCUUGGUUGUGUACUGGCUGUACAGCGUGGCCGCUCUCCGGUCCACUCCAUUGGAUGGGGAGAUGCUGGCACUCUGCUCCUCCCCCGUGCUGCUGUCUGGCAGGUGCAGCAGAGACCUCUUCUGAUAGGAAGGCAGGUUGGUAGACACAAUUCCUGGGGAGCCUGAAGGGUGUCUCUGGGGCUGAAAAAGAACUAUACUUCAGGAAAAAACACACCCCUCCACCCCCCAAAAUAGAAGGUAAUACAUUUGCAUUUUAAGUGAAAAAAAAAAAAGAGCUAGGAAAGUUUUACAAAGAUUUUAUUGAGCAACUAAUCCAAUAAUUUCAUUUCUGAAAAUUUAUGUCAAAGAGAAAACUGGAGCAAAAUACACAAAGUAUAUGUACAAAGAGGUUUAUCCUGCAGUUGUUUAUAAAAGAAAAAAUUCAGAAACAACCUACAUGUCUAUCAUUAGGGGACUGGUUAAAAAAAUAUUUCCAUCAAUGGAAUUCUAGAAGCCAUUAAAACUACCAUGCUGGUUUAUAUACAGUGACCAAUGGGAGGCCAUGUAUGCCUCAUAGUAAGUAAAAAAGAAAGCAGGUUUUAAAAUAGUAUGUAUAGGGGCGCCUGGGUGGCUCAGUCGGUUAAGCGGCUGACCUCGGCUCAGGUCAUGAUCUCGUGGUCUGUGAGUUCGAGCCCCGCAUCGGGCUCUGUUGCUGACAGCUCAGAGCCUGGAGCCUGUUUCAGAUUCUGUGUCUCCCUCUCUCUGACCCUCCCUGUUCAUGCUCUGUCUCUCCCUGUCUCAAAAAUAAAUAAAACGUUAAAAAAAAAAUAAAAAAAAAUAGUAUGUAUAGGGGGAACCUGGGUGGCUCAGUAGGUUAAGUGUCUGAUUCCUGGUUUCAGCUCAGGUCAUGAUCUCACAGUUUGUGGGAUUCAGCCCCGAGUCAGGCUCUAUGCUGACAGUGAAAGGCCUGCUUGGGAUUCUCUCUCCCCUCUCUCCCUGCCCUUCCCCUGCUUGCUCUCUCUCUCUCUCUCAAAAUAAAUAAAUAAAAUAAAUAAAUAAAUAAAUAAAUAAAUAAAUAAUAGUUAGUAUGUAUGGCAAAUCCCUUUUAUAUGUAUGUUUUGAAUGAUACAAUAAGCUUAGUGGUUUAUUUCUAGGUUUUAAAUUGUGGGUGAUUUUUGUCCUCUGUUUAUAACUAUGUAUUGUCUUAUUUAAAAGAAUAAGUAUAUCUCACUUUCAUAACCAGAAAAAAUAUCAAGAAAGUAUUUUAUUUUUCUGAGAAUUAAAGCAGUAAGACAGCACCCACCUGUGGCCUGAUAGCAGCUCCAGAACUGCCAUUGGAAGGCAACAGCUAGUGCCCAGAGGAUCCCUUCUUACCAUGCCAGAGGCUUUCUUCUACACCCGAUUCUCCCUGCCCUGCUGUGACAUCGGACCCUGCUGACCUCUCCUUCUUUCUGAAAUGCUCUUUUGAACAUUCACAUCUGUCCUUCUGUUGCAUCUGGAGCUAGUGUGAUGUGGAUUUGAUGGUGCCUGUCCCCUCACACAUCAGAAGGGACACCACUCCCUCACUGUGGGGUAAGUGGGAGGCUAAAGUAUACAGGGUGCUCAGCACAGUCUUUUGCACGUAUUACAUGCCUGAUAAAAGUUUAAAUCAGAACAGAGAGGGGGGGUGUGAAAAACAGAAAACAGAGUGUUUUUAAAAUAUUAAAAAAUUUUAAUGUUGAUUUAUUUAUUUUGAGAGAGAGAGUACAAGCAGGGGAGGGCCAGAGAGAGAGGGAGAGAGAGAGAAUCCCAAGUAGGCUCCGCACUGUCAGCACAGAGCCCGACACUGGGCUCGAACUUGAGAACUGUAAGAUCAUGACCUGAGCUGAAACCAAGAGUGGGACGCUUAACUAACUGAGCAACGCACGUGCCUCUGUUUUUAAAAUAUUUUUAUGAUAAAUGUUUCUCAAUUCAGAAAGAGAAAAGGGGGUGUGAGCAACAGAAAGUAGCAUAAUUUGUCUUUUAAAAAUAUUUUCUUUUCUCUGGUUAUUUCUCUGAAGCAAAUACGGUCCGGGUGUUCCCCUCCCCACUCGUGGUAGAAAAUCAGCUGAAACCACAGAGACACAGAUAGAAAAGAACCCAGUAAUUUUCCGUGGAUGCGGGGCCCUGAAACACAAGUAUUAUGUCACUGCGGUGAAGUGAGACACUCAGGAACUAUUCAGUCAUUUGGAACUUUCUGCCCUGGACCUCCAGGGCAUGACCCCUCCCUUUCUACCCUUCUCUUUGGCCAUAAACUCACCUGGGUUACCUGUGGCAGCGGGCCCUACCUGACCUAGCACCCUCAAAAAGCUCAGAAGUAGCUCCUCAAAGGAUUUUACCAACUCACACGGUCUGUUCUGGGCUCUUCUUUAAGGUCCACAGUUACUCUUUCCCACAGCUGCUGCCACUUCUCAGAGGUUUGGUUCAAUUUAUGCUCCAAUCUUUCAAUUUCCUGCAAAGUAAUAAAAAGGAGUUUUCUGAUAGUAAGUAUUUCGUAGAAAUCAGGACGUGUCCCAGAGCCACAUCUCCUCUGUACUGGGCCCCAAUGGACAUCAUGGUCAGAGGGCAGCUGAAGUCAAUGGCCUCAGAGGUCUCCCAAGCCAGGAGCAGUGGUGUGAACUCUAGCUGGUAUGAUGCACUAUGGCAAAGAUGAUUUAUUAGGAUCUGUAAUCAGGCCUUUUUGUACAGAAUAGCUUAAAUAAAGACAUAAAAUAUGUAUCCCAAACACCUUCACCUUUGGCUAGCCCAGAGGGAAUCUGAUGGCCACCGCAAAAGGCCAAGCACUGGGCUGGCAUCCAAACCCUAGUAGCUGAGGUAGGAGUCUGUCCUUGACAGAGGAACCCCUAACUCUGCUGAUUUAAAACCAGAUGUGGAAAGAAUGAACCAAGAAAUGCACAAAGAAUGGAAUUUCCUCGGGACAAGGAAGCUGGGGAUCAGAGCAGCUGCCUCUGUGACGCCUUCACUGCAGCACACUCCUCCCAGUCACAAGACUGCACGAAGACUCUUCAGGAACUGCUUGGCCCGUAUCAGGGCUCAAACCCUUUCCUCAGGGCUGCUGCUCUCAGCAGGGUGGCUACUGCUGGGAUUGUUUCAGUUCAGAAUAUUCUCUGUAGAGACGCUGGCAGUAUUCCCAUCAGGCCAUCAACUACCCACACUUCUGACCAGAGGAAGUAGAGCACCCACAAAAGCCAUAACCCAGGCCUGACUCAGGCUGUUGGGCAGCUAAAACAGCUGGGAAGCUGCAAAUUGCUCCAUUUGCUUGAUUGCUUCCUCAUAAUGCCAGAAAACUUACUUUUUUGAGACCCUUUUCCAGUAGUUGAGCCUGGUCCCCUACUGUUGUUGAGGAGCAAAUUUGGUUUUCCUCAUUCUCCUGGAAUGCUACGUAUCACACUGGCUCAGAGUGAGGACAGCCAUGUCCGGAAGUAUGCGAACCACUUUUAAUUUAGCCUGGUUUCUGAGGCCUCGGGUACUACCAGGGCCCCUGUUGCCCUCUGUGCAUGUCUACACAGGCCUGACUUACACUGAAAAGGCUGGUGAGAGCAUCGGGCUGAGCACAGCUGAUAUCAUCAUAGCAGGGCCACACUGUUCUCCUCCGGCUCUGGGGGCCAGCUCCUCCAGCCACUUCAGAGUCCUCGGAGGGGAAGUGCUUGGGGGUUAGCAUCAUCCAGUCAUAUGAAGGGCCUGUGGAAAGGGUCUCUUCUGUGUAGUAAUCCCACUUCUUGAGGCUGGAGACAUUUACACUGGGCUUCAGGGCCUGUUCAAAGAAAAUUCUGAAAUAUAGUUUCAUCUUGACCUCAAAGUACCCCAGCUUACUGGCAGGUCAGCCCUUAACAUUUGCAGGGUCCAGGGCAAGAGCAUGAAUGGAGAUUCAAAUACCAUAUAUGUAAAUAUUUAGAUAUUAUACAUCAAGAUAAACUAUUAAAUAAAAUAUAUCUCUCCUCCUACCUUGGUAAAUAUAACUUCCUAAUGAUCUGGAAGACCAGGCUCAAACUGAGAAUUCUUGGACUCCUUGGAAUUCUAUACCAAGGCCCAAGGUGGCACUGGGAAAGCUGGUCCCAGCUCCCAGUCCUUGGCCUAAUCCCCUGCUCCUCUCACCUUGGCUCUGUCCUAUAUUCUGAGGUCUUUUAUGAAUGUGUAUAUAUAUAUAUAUAUAUAUAUGUGUAUAUAUACACAUAUAUAUAUAUAUAUGUAUAUAUAUAUACAUGUAUAUGUAUAUAUAUAUAUAUAUAUAUAUAUACCUAGUCCACAAAACUAAACUUGGUCUACUACCUGCCAAACAGCUACUUCUUAGGCACCCUUGAGGCUGAAGGGAACACGCACCAGCUUGGGAGACAGACUGGAAGAAGUAGCUUUGUGAGCAACUUGGAUUAGGCAAGAAAUUUUGGGUACAUGGUUUAGAUGAAGAAAGGGUAUCUAAGCACAUACCCUUGUUUCUUGUGGUCUUCAUUUUAUGAGGAGGGGAUAGUUGGAGAAAGGCCAGAAUGGGGUCCUAAUGCAUGGGACCCAGGGCAGGGGCAUUCCUGCCCCUGAGUAAGGUGAUACGUCUCACUUGUCAUCAAACCAGUCUGUUCCAUCCCAGAGCUUACUUCACAUAGAUGUGCAUCACAGAGCAUGGUUGCCCCUGAGACGUCAUUCUUUUGAGCUGGGCUCCAAACAUCCGGCGUUCCAUAGGGGUUCUUCCACAGCUUUGGUAUAAAUGGACUUAGGGAAAUCUUUUCUAAAGUAUUUUAGAUUUUUUCAGCUUAGAUAACCAGUUGAGGUUUCAAGUUUUGUUUGGUCUUUCUUCCUGGAGAAAGUUGCCUCACUUUGACUUUCUUGAAGUUAUCCCUCCUAGAUUUUGGGGGCCAGCUCCUAAUUUUUGUGGUCAAGAAUAUGAUGAACAGUCUGUAUUCCAUCAUAACCCAAACCCAUAGUGUAUAUCAAAUUUUUAAAUAGCUUCUGGUAUUUUAAAUAGCUUCCUAAUCCAAUGUUUAUAAAAAGCUUAAACAGCUUAUAUAUACUUAAAAGUAAGGAAAACUUUAACACUAGAUACUCAGAAAGUGAAACAUAAAUGCUUUCUUACUGUACCUCUAUUUCCAUUGGUGAAUAUAAAUAAUUAAAGAAAAUGGGACUCCUCUUGUGCAUUCUAUCAAUACACUCCCAAAUACAAAUUCCUUUUUUGGCAUGUUUGUCUCCUUUAUCGUCAAACAACGUUCCUGUAAAUCAACCCCCCCCCCCAAAAAAAAAAAAAAUCAACAAAAGUCAAAUAAAUCAACAGUUUGCCUAAAACUAUGAUGCAUGUACCAGAUGAAAAGCAAAAUAUAUCUUACAGCUCUCAGAACAGCAAUGUAUGUGCAGAAACCUUAGGUGGUGACCGCAAAGCUAAGGAUAGGAAUGAACUUCACAGCUGUAUGGAAACAAACCCAAAUGGAAGGAAAACAUCUGGUAAGGUUUUCCCAAGUAUUUAGCAGCACAUAGUGACUCUCUUCUAAUCUAUAUCCUACAUCUAUAUCUAGAUUCACAAAGCUCCAUGCCAGGAGUCAUUCUACAUAUUUUUCAGGAGAAAUGGGAAGGACUUAGAGUUAUGUGAUGAAGUUCAGUUAAAAACAUAAUUUUAUGUUUCUUUUUUCAGUCAUUGGCUGUUCAUUAUGAAGCCAUUUAAAGUGUUUUCUUAUUUAGUAAUUUAUAUACUGCAAAUCAUGGUCAUGAAGACUUUGGAUGAUAGAAGGGUGUGGUCUGUAUCCUUGGGUGACUUAACAAAAGCCAAAUGUAGUGGGUGGGGGAGGUGCUUCAGGGAGUUUCUGAUCCUAUCUUUGCACCCAUCAAACAGUCAAUGUGUCACUCACAUGAGCUCACUUUUUUUUUAAAAAUAAGCUUUAAAAACAAAAGUUUUAUUAUUUAUUUUGAGAGAGAGACUGUGUGAGCAAGGGAGGGGCAGACAGAGAGGGAGAGAGAGAGAGAGAGAGAGAGAGAGAGAGAGAGAGAAUCCCAAGCAGGCUCUGUGCUGUCAAUGCAACACCCAAUGCAGGGCUCGAUCUCACAAACUGUGAGAUCAUAACCCAAGCCAAAAUCAAGAGUCAGAUAUUUAACAGACUGAGCCACCCAGGCACUCCUUCCACUCCUUCUUCUUCUCCUUCUCCUCCUCCUCCUCCCCUCCUCCCCCUCCCUCUCCUUCUCCUUUUUUUUUUUUUUUUUUAAGUAGGCUUCACACCCAGUGCAGAGCCUAAUGCUGGGCUUAAACUCAUGACCCUGAGAUCAAGAUUCAGAUGCUCAACUGACUGAGCCACCCAGUAGCCCCAGGAGGUUAUUUCUUUAAAAGGCCAGGAAGGGUGCCUUCCUUAGCAAUGCUGUCUUGCUUUGAAUGAAAUGACUCAGUCAAAAGUCAAGAAGCAUCUUAUCAGUUUAUCAGAAAAGAUGGUCUCAAGCCCAACUCUGCACAAAAUCCUGUAAGAGGCCCCCAAGACUAAUUAGUGUUUCUAGUCUACCUUUUAACUGCAGAGUCCAGUGUGGUAGUUUUCAACCCUGGCCACACAUUGGAAAAAUCAAGGGCUUUAAAAACCCCCAAUGCUUAGGUCUUGCCUCAGACCAAUUAAAUCAGAAUCUCUGAGGAUGAGUCCAAGCAGAUAUUUUAAAAGUUCUCCAAGUGACUCCAAUGUCUCUUGUAACCAGCUUUCCUUCAUAUCUUCCCAAACCAUGGGUGCU
Molecule: long non-coding RNA, 22004 nt
Filed under: Lynx pardinus (Iberian lynx)
Lineage: Eukaryota; Metazoa; Chordata; Mammalia; Carnivora; Felidae
Source: RNAcentral